This 496-nucleotide ribosomal RNA is filed under the name uncultured bacterium. RNAcentral describes it as "partial 16S ribosomal RNA". It matches the Rfam family "Bacterial small subunit ribosomal RNA", at positions 28 to 506 of the family's 1533-position model. The record is from RNAcentral.
GAUGAACGCUGGCGGCGUGCCUAAUACAUGCAAGUCGAGCGAACAGACGAGGAGCUUGCUCCUCUGACGUUAGCGGCGGACGGGUGAGUAACACGUGGAUAACCUACCUAUAAGACUGGGAUAACUUCGGGAAACCGGAGCUAAUACCGGAUAAUAUAUUGAACCGCAUGGUUCAAUAGUGAAAGACGGUUUUGCUGUCACUUAUAGAUGGAUCCGCGCCGCAUUAGCUAGUUGGUAAGGUAACGGCUUACCAAGGCAACGAUGCGUAGCCGACCUGAGAGGGGGAACGGCAAAAGAGGAAAUGAGACACGGCCCAGAACCCAAGGGGGGGCAGGAGUAGGGAAUCUUCCGAAAGGGGGGAAAGCCUGACGGGGAAACGCCGGGGGAGGGAAGAAGGUCUUCGGAUCGUAAAACUUUUUUAUGAGGGAAAAAAAAAUGGGUAAGUAAAUAGGCACGUUUUGAGGGUACCUAAUAAGAAAGCCACGGUUAACUAAGU